Molecule: non-coding RNA, 203 nt
Organism: Pelobates cultripes (western spadefoot toad)
Lineage: Eukaryota; Metazoa; Chordata; Amphibia; Anura; Pelobatidae
Source: the annotation of a GenBank genome assembly
CCAGAAGAUUGGAAGUUAGCGAAUGUUGUGCCCAUUCACAAGAAAGGUAAUAGGGAGGAGUCGGGCAACUAUAGGCCAGUAAGCCUUACUUCAGUAGUGGGGAAGUGAUGGAAACCAUGUUAAAGGAUAGGAUUGUUGAACAUCUAAAAACACAUGGAUUUCAAGAUCAGAGACAACAUGGGUUUACUUCAAGGAGAUCAUGC